AACCCAUGUUGAGGACAUUUCUGUAGGAGCUCCUUGAACCUGUUCCAUGUCUCAAAAAAAGACUCCAAAUCUGUUUCACAAAAGAUGAUAUUUCAUUCUUGUGCUU
Small nucleolar RNA from Dioscorea cayenensis subsp. rotundata (Guinea yam), 106 nucleotides. The record is from RefSeq and is a predicted model, not a curated record. Lineage: Eukaryota; Viridiplantae; Streptophyta; Magnoliopsida; Dioscoreales; Dioscoreaceae.